UGGGGAAUAUUGCACAAUGGGCGAAAGCCUGAUGCAGCAACGCCGCGUGAGGGACGACGGCCUUCGGGUUGUAAACCUCUUUUAGCAAGGAAGAAGCGAAAGUGACGGUACUUGCAGAAAAAGCGCCGGCUAACUACGUGCCAGCAGCCGCGGUAAUACGUAGGGCGCAAGCGUUAUCCGGAAUUAUUGGGCGUAAAGAGCUCGUAGGCGGUUUGUCGCGUCUGCUGUGAAAACCCGAGGCUCAACCUCGGGCCUGCAGUGGGUACGGGCAGACUAGAGUGCGGUAGGGGAGAUUGGAACUCCUGGUGUAGCGGUGGAAUGCGCAGAUAUCAGGAAGAACACCGAUGGCGAAGGCAGAUCUCUGGGCCGUAACUGACGCUGAGGAGCGAAAGGGUGGGGAGCAAACAGGCUUAGAUACCCUGGUAGUCCACCCCGUAAACGUUGGGAACUAGUUGUGGGGUCCAUUCCACGGAUUCCGUGACGCAGCUAACGCAUUAAGUUCCCCGCCUGGGGAGUACGGCCGCAAGGCCUAAAACUGCAAAUGAAUUGACGGGGUCAUAGCUGUUUCCU
Molecule: ribosomal RNA, 570 nt
Filed under: uncultured bacterium
Lineage: Bacteria
Description: partial 16S ribosomal RNA
Rfam family: Bacterial small subunit ribosomal RNA
Source: RNAcentral